AAUAUCCACCUUGCAGCAGCUAACUGCUUUCUGUCUGGCUAAGCUUUGGAUGUGGAGCCCCUGAGAUCUGGAUCAUGAAUAAUGCAUGAUGGGUGGUCUUACUACAGGAAUGAGGACUGUCAUUGGGCUGAAGCAAAUUGCUUUUCCCUUCGCUGGGUGCUCAAUGAGGAUGCAGCAGAUAGACGACUCACUGCAGGAGAGCGAAGGAACUAAGCGCUGCCACACAUGCACCAAGUCCUUGGUGAGUGACCCCAGGGGGCAAGCCAUCAAUGAAAGCUAGAAAAUCCCACCGCACAAGGGGGCUUCACCUCCUACCUUGAUAUCCUUUCUUCUCCUACAAAGAGAAGCAUUGACUGGCAAUGGGCAAGGUGUUGCAGCAGUGACCUGUAAUAUCCUGUCUACUAAAUCCCUUCCUACCUCCAAGUGAACAGACGCUCCGAUCACACGCAAGGACAAGGAUACUGACUGCUCUACUGCACAUUGCAACUGACUGUGAGAAGACCCCAUCACUUUUUACACCCCUCCAACCAUCUCUGAGGCUGAUGUGGCUCUAAUACAAAUGGCUCUUAAACUUUUUGUUAUUCUGCUGCUCUGUGGAAGUACUGGUUCUGAAAGACCCCUUUCUUAUAACAGUGCCCCAGAGCCUCUGGAUUUUGGAUUUGUACCCACUGCAACAUAUGACACCAGUGCUGAUCAUGAGCCUGGGGCGAUAGGCUUACUGUUUCACAUAGUCCAAGGAUUCCUGUAUAUUGUACAGCCAAAUGCAUUCCCUCAAGAUUUGGUAAGGCGGAUAGCAGUACAGAAGUUUGGCCCAUCUCGUAGUGACUAUCAAAAGCCGGAGAAUGUUGUCCUGACUUUGCAGACAAUACACUAUGAGAUUGGCUUCAUUGUGGCCACAGCCCUGGGGGUCCUGUUUUUCCUGCUCAUGCCCUUGGUGGGGCUAUGCUUCUGCAUGUGUCGCUGUUGUGAUAACUGUGGCGGGGAGAUGCACCAGAGACAAAAGAAGAAUGCUGACUGUAAAAGAGGCAGCUUCGCCACCUUCCUGUUCGUGACAUCUCUGCUUAUAAGUCUUGGAGUGCUCUGUGCUUUUGCUGCAAAUCAGAAUCUUACUAGCGAGAUCCGAGGAUCAAAGAAAUUGGUGCAAAGCAACUUCAAGGACUUGAAAACCUUGCUAGCGGAUACCCCCACGCAAAUUGACUAUUUAUUGGCAAAGUUCAAUCUAACCAAGGAGAAAGCCCUAUCAGAGCUCAAUAAUGUUGGGCCAUUAUUGGGAGAGCGCGUCCAUGAGCAGCUUGGGAAGGAAGUACGGCCAGCUUUUGAUUCUGUUCUUAACAUGGCAGGAGUCAAAGUGGAAAGGGCAAUUAAAGCAAUCAAGGAGACCAAAGAAGCUUUAGAGAAGAUCAGCGUGUCAGUGGAAGUGCUGCAGGAAGUGAUGGACAGGCUAAAUGCAAACCUUACAGAUGCCAAGAUACAGCUGAUCAGCACACUGAGUGACCCAGCAUGUUCCACUGACAUCGCUCUAAUUCCUUGCAACAAAAUCAAGAAUUCCCUCUCACAGCUGCAAGUCAAUGCAAAUUUCAGCUCGGUAAGAAACAUAAAGUUACCAGAUGUAAGCCGCUAUCUUGAAAAAUUAAACAAUGUUCUCAAAAUUGAUCUCAGCAUUUUGGUGCAAAAGGGAUAUGCCGCUUUCAAUAGCACUCCAGAAAUGGUGCAGAAUCAAACCAGGAACAUUGAAGCAGCUAUUCCUUAUGUUAAGAACGUCUUGGAUUCCAUUGGAGUAAAUAUCACACAUUUUUCAAAAAUGAUCCCAAUUCUUCAUGUCAUAUCAAACUUGACGUCAUACAUAACACAGAGUGAGAUGUUUGUGCGGGAGUACUACCCUGUAGUUGAACAGUACGACUUUUACAGGUGGUUGGGCUCUCUUGUUCUCUGCUGCAUGGUGGCGCUCAUUGUAGUCUUCUAUUUCCUUGGUUUACUAUGUGGCGCCUGUGGUUAUGACCAGCAUGCAUCUCCAACUACUAGAGGCUGCAUCUCCAAUACCGGGGGCAACUUCCUUAUGGCUGGUGUUGGAUUUAGCUUCCUCUUCUCCUGGGUCCUUAUGCUCGUUGUAAUCAUCACAUUCCUGGCUGGUGGAAAUAUUGAAAAGCUGGUAUGUGAGCCAUUUCAAGACAAGUCUUUGUUUAAGGUUCUGGAUACCCCUUAUCUGCUGAACUCACAGUGGAAAAAUUACUUGUCUGGAGUCUUAUACCAAAAUGCCAAUGUUAAUCUUACAUUUGAAAAAGUGUACAGUGACUGCAAAGACAACAAGGGCAUUUUUACUGCACUUCAGGUUGAUAAUCUUUUUAAUCUCAAUGAAUUUCUCAACAUCAGCAUGUAUGUAGAUGAAAUAUCAGAACGGAUUGACACAAUGAACAUCAACUUGAACAGCAUUGUGUUGCUUGAUGAUAAAGGAAAACAGAACUUACGGGAAUUCAGUGCAACAGGAAUUGAUGGCAUAGACUUUGAUGCAUUUCUGUCAGAAGUGGGAAAAAGCAGUACAAAAGCUGAUCUCUUAGUGUUUGCCAAUGAAUUGGAAGCAGAUGCUGACCUAUUGCCAAAAGGAGCAUUAGGAAAUGCUUUAAAAGGACACGCUAAUAGUAUACGGAUGAUACAUAUUCAGCAGAUUGUACCGAUGGAGCAGACAAUGAAAUAUGUUAAAGCUAGGAGUGAUUUGACUCAAAGCAUUAAGCUGUUAGAGAGGACGUCAUUCGACAUUGAGGGAAAGGUGCUUGAUGUCAUCUCAUCCAUUGAUGCGGCACAAAUGCUGAUCAACAAUAAUGCAUCUACAAUCAUUAAGCAGGAAUCUAAAAGAUUUAUGGACACAGUCAUAAGCUAUUUUGUGCAGUAUGUGCAGUGGGUUAAAGACUCUAUAGCCCUGGAUGUUGCUGGAUGUAAACCGAUAGCAAAUGCUAUAGACACUGCUGUAGAUUUGUUUUUAUGCAGCUACAUUAUUAAUUCCGUGAACUCAUUUUGGUUUGGUUUGGGAGGAUCUACAAUAUUCCUAAUUCCUGCCAUCAUUUUUGCUAUCAAGUUAUCAAAGUUCUACCGCAGAAUGGACACGGAAGAUGUUUAUGAUGAUGUUGAAACUGUCCCCAUGAAAAAUAUGGAAAAUGGUAAUAAUGGUUAUCAUAAUGAGUAUUUGUAUGGUAUACGCAACCCUAUUAUGACAAGCUUAUCUUCAUUUGACACCCUGAGUAGAUUCCCUCGAGCCUCUGCCCCACCACGCCAAGAUGAUUGAUGAAAGCCGACCAGUGGUUUGAGAGUGUGGAGUGCUGUUGAACAGUGGUAGAAGGCAGUAAAGAUGACGGCAUGGUUUCAUUCUCUGUGAAGUCAUUACACCAUUCUGUGCAGAAUGUCCACCUUCUGUAAUACAGAUACCAGGAUCCUGCCUAACAGACUUUGCUGAGGAUUCAAACUUUCCUUUCAAGAACUAUUUUACAUGGGCCGUAGGAAUAAUGUUCACCGCCUGCGACAAUACUUUUAAUUGUUAUGAACACACAAACCCUUCACUGCCAAGAAGUAAUGCUAUGCAUAGCGCAACAGUGGAGUUAAUAACAAGUGUUUACACUAGUGCUAAUUUUUGUAUCAAGAACUUUUGUACUUAUACUCACUAUUUAUUAUGGUAUAUUAGUUUUACAUAUUCUGUGGAAAAGAACAUAAAAGGGGGAGGGGGCUAACUGCAUACCAUUUCAGUUUGUAAAAAAAUUCACUUGUAUGGCUGGCAAAAGUAAACAUUGUUUAAUAAUAA
RNA transcript from Rana temporaria (common frog), 3787 nucleotides. It is a transcript of the gene named prominin 1, with no coding region annotated. The record is from RefSeq and is a predicted model, not a curated record. The transcript has 32 exons. Lineage: Eukaryota; Metazoa; Chordata; Amphibia; Anura; Ranidae.